GUUUCCCAGAGACUAUGGGUUGAGGAGGAAUUGGAAGUUUGUCGGCUUAGACCUGGUGUCAUUCCAUCAGUGUUAAACUUCCCAGCUCAUCUUGGAAGAGUACGUGCCAGAAAGACCACGACCAAGCAGCCUUGAGAUCUUAGGCAGCGUCUCCCUGAGAUCAAAGAACUACAGACUCUUCACAACCUGCUCAAACUCUUCGUACAAGACCUCACCACACGGGUCAAGAAGGUUUCCGUCUCAUUUCUACUCUGAAGCUCACCUUCUCCUGCUCAAACUGCUG
This is a long non-coding RNA of Amphiprion ocellaris (clown anemonefish), 283 nucleotides long. The record is from Ensembl. NCBI's taxonomy places the organism in Eukaryota, Metazoa, Chordata, Actinopteri, Pomacentridae.